Non-coding RNA from Paramuricea clavata, 88 nucleotides. The record is from the annotation of a GenBank genome assembly. NCBI's taxonomy places the organism in Eukaryota, Metazoa, Cnidaria, Anthozoa, Malacalcyonacea, Plexauridae.
GACCGCGUUUAGCUCAGUUGGCAGAGCCCUAUAACAGAGCAUUGGGCUAGUAUUCCACAGGUCGUAGGUUCGAUUCCCACCGUGGUCA